UACAGAGGGGGCAAGCGUUGUUCGGAUUUACUGGGCGUAAAGGGCGCGUAGGCGGCCUGCUAAGUCGAACGUGAAAUCCCCGGGCUCAACCCAGGAACUGCGUCCGAUACUGGUUGGCUUGAAUCCGGGAGAGGGACGUGGAAUUCCAGGUGUAGCGGUGAAAUGCGUAGAUAUCUGGAGGAACACCGGUGGCGAAGGCGACGCCCUGGACCGGCAUUGACGCUGAGGCGCGAAAGCCAGGGGAGCAAACGGG
RNAcentral lists this ribosomal RNA (253 nucleotides) under uncultured bacterium. Its description in RNAcentral is "partial 16S ribosomal RNA". It matches the Rfam family "Bacterial small subunit ribosomal RNA", at positions 524 to 776 of the family's 1533-position model. The record is from RNAcentral.